UACGUAGGGUGCGAGCGUUAAUCGGAAUUACUGGGCGUAAAGCGUGCGCAGGCGGUUCGUUAAGUCUGAUGUGAAAGCCCCGGGCUCAACCUGGGAAUGGCAUUGGAAACUGGCUAGCUGGAGUGUGGCAGAGGGGGGUGGAAUUCCGCGUGUAGCAGUGAAAUGCGUAGAGAUGCGGAGGAACACCGAUGGCGAAGGCAGCCCCCUGGGCCAACACUGACGCUCAGGCACGAAAGCGUGGGGAGCAAACAGG
This 253-nucleotide ribosomal RNA is filed under the name uncultured bacterium. RNAcentral's name for it is "partial 16S ribosomal RNA". It matches the Rfam family "Bacterial small subunit ribosomal RNA", at positions 524 to 776 of the family's 1533-position model. The record is from RNAcentral.